This 215-nucleotide long non-coding RNA is filed under the name Trifolium pratense (red clover). Its description in RNAcentral is "long non-coding RNA (TPRA_LNC007251)". Lineage: Eukaryota; Viridiplantae; Streptophyta; Magnoliopsida; Fabales; Fabaceae. The record is from RNAcentral.
GUCGAGGGCUUUGAACUAGAGCUAUUAUAGUGGAUUCAUUCCUGGAUUGGUAUCCCCCAGAGUAGGUGACGUUGCACUGAACUGGGUUAACAAUUACUUGUCUUAUUUAUUAUUCUGCAAUUUUUUAUUUAUUUACUGUGUUCUGCGACUGUCUUGCUGCAACGUGUGCUAUAGCAUCUUGUGCAGCAUUGUGUUCACUGCGUGCCAGAUUUCAC